Molecule: ribosomal RNA, 253 nt
Filed under: uncultured bacterium
Lineage: Bacteria
Description: partial 16S ribosomal RNA
Rfam family: Bacterial small subunit ribosomal RNA
Source: RNAcentral
UACGUAGGCAGCAAGCGUUGUUCGGAAUUACUGGGCGUAAAGAGUGUGUAGGCGGUGCUCUAAGUCUGUUGUGAAAUCUCCCGGCUUAACUGGGAGGGUGCGGCGGAAACUGGAGUGCUCGAGGGUGGGAGAGGUAAGCGGAAUUCCUGGUGUAGCGGUGAAAUGCGUAGAGAUGUGGAGGAACACCGAUGGCGAAGGCAGCCUUCUGGGCCAACACUGACGCUCAUGCACGAAAGCGUGGGGAGCAAACAGG